UUCUUGUUCAAAUUGGUAGGUCACCAACCACAAUCUUGUUCAAAUUGGUAGGUCACCAACCCUAUCAACCAUGUGAAAAGGUGCUGGCCGAUUUAUGUGUUCAAAUUGGUAGGUCACCAACCCCAUCAACCAUGUGAAAAGGUGUUGGCCGACUUAUGUGUUCAAAUUGGUAGGUCACCAACCCCAUCAACCAUGUGAAAAGGUGCUG
RNAcentral lists this long non-coding RNA (208 nucleotides) under Nicotiana benthamiana. Its description in RNAcentral is "long non-coding RNA (NBEN_LNC000277)". The record is from RNAcentral. Lineage: Eukaryota; Viridiplantae; Streptophyta; Magnoliopsida; Solanales; Solanaceae.